This 463-nucleotide ribosomal RNA is filed under the name uncultured bacterium. RNAcentral's name for it is "partial 16S ribosomal RNA". It matches the Rfam family "Bacterial small subunit ribosomal RNA", at positions 28 to 507 of the family's 1533-position model. The record is from RNAcentral.
GAUGAACGCUGACAGAAUGCUUAACACAUGCAAGUCUUUGGCGAAGCUGUGCUCGCACAGCCUAGCCAAGGCGGACGGGUGAGUAACGCGUAAGGAACUUGCCCUGCAGUCAGGGAUAACAGACGGAAACGACUGAUAAGACCUGGUAAAGUCAGGCGGACUCAUGUCCAGCCUGAUGAAAAGAGAUGCUGCAGGAGAGCCUUGCGUCCUAUUAGCUUGUUGGUGGGGUAACGGCCCACCAAGGCGAUGAUAGGUAGCCGGCCUGAGAGGGUGGACGGCCACAAGGGGACUGAGAUACGGCCCUUACUCCUACGGGAGGCAGCAGUGGGGAAUAUUGGACAAUGGGGGCAACCCUGAUCCAGCAAUUCUGUGUGCACGAUGAAGGUUUUCGGAGUGUAAAGUGCUUUCAGCAGGGAAGAAAAAAAUGACGGUACCUGCAGAGGAAGCGACGGCUAAAUACGUG